GAUGAAGAACGUAGCAAAAUGCGAUAAGUAAUGUGAAUUGCAGAAUUCAGUGAAUCAUCGAAUCUUUGAACGCACAUUGCGCCCGCCAGUAUUCUGGCGGGCAUGCCUGUUCGAGCGUCGUUUCAACCCUCAAGCACAGCUUGGUGUUGGGACUCGCGUUAAUUCGCGUUCCCCAAAUUGAUUGGCGGUCACGUCGAGCUUCCAUAGCGUAGUAGUAAAACCCUCGUUACUGGUAAUCGUCGCGGCCACGCCGUUAAACCCCAACUUCUGAAUGUUGACCUCGGAUCAGGUAGGAAUACCCGCUGAACUUAAGCAUAUCAAUAAGCGGAGGA
Molecule: unclassified non-coding RNA, 332 nt
Filed under: soil metagenome
Description: partial contains 5.8S ribosomal RNA, internal transcribed spacer 2, and large subunit ribosomal RNA
Rfam family: 5.8S ribosomal RNA (bases 1-120)
Source: RNAcentral